UACAGAGGGUGCGAGCGUUAAUCGGAAUUACUGGGCGUAAAGCGUGCGUAGACGGUUAUUUAAGUCGGGUGUGAAAGCCCCGGGCUCAACCUGGGAAUUGCAUUCGAGACUGAAUAGCUAGGGUACGGUAGAGGGAAGUGGAAUUUCCGGUGUAGCGGUGAAAUGCGUAGAUAUCGGAAGGAACAUCAGUGGCGAAGGCGGUUCUCUGGGCCUGUACUGACGCUGAGGAGCGAAAGCGUGGGGAGCGAACAGG
RNAcentral lists this ribosomal RNA (253 nucleotides) under uncultured bacterium. RNAcentral's name for it is "partial 16S ribosomal RNA". It matches the Rfam family "Bacterial small subunit ribosomal RNA", at positions 524 to 776 of the family's 1533-position model. The record is from RNAcentral.